This 312-nucleotide ribosomal RNA is filed under the name uncultured Pseudomonadota bacterium. RNAcentral's name for it is "bacterial SSU rRNA". It matches the Rfam family "Bacterial small subunit ribosomal RNA", at positions 29 to 351 of the family's 1533-position model. Lineage: Bacteria; Pseudomonadati; Pseudomonadota. The record is from RNAcentral.
AACGAACGUUCGCGGCGCGCUUAACACAUGCAAGUCGAACGAGAAAGUCCUUCGGGGCGAGUACAGUGGCGCACGGGUGAGUAACACGUGGGUAUCUACCUAUUGGUGGGGGACAACAUCUUGAAAAGGGUGCUAAUACCGCAUAAGUCCAGCAAUGGGGAAAGGGGCUUCGGCCUCGCCAGUAGAUGAGCCCGCGUCCCAUCAGCUUGUUGGUAGGGUAAUGGCCUACCAAGGCUACGACGGGUAGCUGGUCUGAGAGGAUGACCAGCCACACUGGAACUGAGACACGGUCCAGACUCCUACGGGAGGCAG